RNAcentral lists this ribosomal RNA (450 nucleotides) under uncultured bacterium. Its description in RNAcentral is "partial 16S ribosomal RNA". It matches the Rfam family "Bacterial small subunit ribosomal RNA", at positions 354 to 796 of the family's 1533-position model. The record is from RNAcentral.
GUGGGGAAUCUUCCGCAAUGGACGAAAGUCUGACGGAGCAACGCAGCGUGAACGAUGACGGCCUUCGGGUUGUAAAGUUCUGUUAUACGGGACGAAUGGUACGACGGCCAAUACCCGUCGUAAGUGACGGUACCGUAAGAGAAAGCCACGGCUAACUACGUGCCAGCAGCCGCGGUAAUACGUAGGUGGCAAGCGUUGUCCGGAAUUAUUGGGCGUAAAGGGCGCGCAGGCGGCGUCGUAAGUCGGUCUUAAAAGUGCGGGGCUUAACCCCGUGAGGGGACCGAAACUGCGAUGCUAGAGUAUCGGAGAGGAAAGCGGAAUUCCUAGUGUAGCGGUGAAAUGCGUAGAUAUUAGGAGGAACACCAGUGGCGAAAGCGGCUUUCUGGACGACAACUGACGCUGAGGCGCGAAAGCCAGGGGAGCAAACGGGAUUAGAAACCCUGGUAGUCC